GAUGAACGCUGGCGGCGUGCCUAAUACAUGCAAGUCGAGCGAACAGACGAGGAGCUUGCUCCUCUGACGUUAGCCGCGGGCGGGUGAGUAACACGUGUAUCACCUACCUAUCAGACUGGGAUAACUUCGGGAAACCGGAUCUAAUACCGGAUAAUAUAUUGAACCGCAUGGUUCAAUGGUGAAAGUCGGUUUUGCUGUCACUUCUCGAGGGUUCUCCGCCGCAUUAGCUAGUUGGUAAGGUAACGGCUUACCAAGGCAACGAUGCGUUGACGAAGGGAGAGGGGGAUCGGCCACACGGGAACUGAGACACCGUCCAGAGGCCUACGGGAGGCAGCAGUAGGGAAUCGUCCGCAAUGGGCGAAAGCUUGACGGAGCAACGCCGCGUGAGUGAUGAAGGUCUUCGGAUCGUAAAACUCUGUUAUUAGGGAAGAACAAAUGUGUAAGUAAAUAUGCACGUCUUGACGGUACCGAAUCAGAAAGCCACGGCUAACUACGUG
This 497-nucleotide ribosomal RNA is filed under the name uncultured bacterium. RNAcentral's name for it is "partial 16S ribosomal RNA". It matches the Rfam family "Bacterial small subunit ribosomal RNA", at positions 28 to 507 of the family's 1533-position model. The record is from RNAcentral.